This 138-nucleotide non-coding RNA is filed under the name Gorilla gorilla gorilla (western lowland gorilla). The record is from Rfam by way of RNAcentral. Lineage: Eukaryota; Metazoa; Chordata; Mammalia; Primates; Hominidae.
GCUGGGUGUGGUGGCGGGCACCUGUAGUCCCAGCUACUCAGGAGGCUGAGGCAGGAGAACUGCUUGAGCCUAGGAGUUCUUGGCUCCAGUGAGCUAUGCUCACACCAGCCUGGGUGACAGAGCAAGACCCUGUCUCUA